Molecule: non-coding RNA, 95 nt
Organism: Acanthosepion pharaonis
Lineage: Eukaryota; Metazoa; Mollusca; Cephalopoda; Sepiida; Sepiidae
Source: the annotation of a GenBank genome assembly
UUACGGUCAUAUCACGUUGAAACACCGGUUCUCGUCCGAUCACCGAAGUUAAGCAACGUUGAACCUGGUCAGUAUCGAGAUGGGUGACUGAGGAA